UUGCCCAUUUAAGACCUAUCUUGUCUUAAAUGAUUAACACAGGGGGGUAGAGGAAUUCUUUCAAAAACCUGAAGUGAAAGCUAAAAUUUCCUAACUUCGGAUCCUGUCGGAAGAAACAAAC
Small nucleolar RNA from Trichomycterus rosablanca, 121 nucleotides. RefSeq annotates it as small nucleolar RNA SNORA26. NCBI's taxonomy places the organism in Eukaryota, Metazoa, Chordata, Actinopteri, Siluriformes, Trichomycteridae. The transcript has a single exon. The record is from RefSeq and is a predicted model, not a curated record.